GCUAUAAUUAAUAAGAAAAACAAAAAUUUAUUCAAUUUCUAUAUUAAGGUAUAUACGAUUACUAACAAUUACAACUUCAUGCCAUUGAGUGUCGGACAAAUCCAAACUGAAAUCUGCUUUAUAGCAUUUUGCUUAGCUUUUUUGGGUUAUUGUGGCAAACUUGUAACCUAAAACAUAAGAGCGAUAACGAUUUGAUGCAAUCUUUGCCUUCCUCCAACUUAUAAAUAGCAGUCUUAUCCGAAUCCCUACCACUAAAUACUGGCAACGAUAACAAGGAUUUAGGCUCGCUACAAUACUUGUCCUUCUUUCAGACAUCACACUUAGCAAUAUACAUUAUUUCCUAACUAAAAACUAUUUACUAAAUGCAGAUCGUUUAUAAAAUAGGCUACUGGAAAAUACAAUCCUGUUUAAUCCUUGCACUUUAGCGAAACAACUUCGGGUUUUAUCGAAAGCUUGCUUUUGCUUCUAGAGAUUCUUCUUAAUAUCAACAGAUCUCAACUUAACCCAGAAAUUUUAACUUCCUCUGUUUCACAUUCCAACAAUUACUUUAAUAAAGUUGCUUAAAAACAUACUUAAUUACAAUUUAGGACAUAAGCCCAAUGGAGGUUAAGGGACUCGAACCCUUGACCCUCGGCUUGCAAAGCCGAUGCUCUAGCCAACUG
This 662-nucleotide unclassified non-coding RNA is filed under the name Borreliella burgdorferi (Lyme disease spirochete). RNAcentral describes it as "partial 16S-23S ribosomal RNA intergenic spacer". Lineage: Bacteria; Pseudomonadati; Spirochaetota; Spirochaetia; Spirochaetales; Borreliaceae. The record is from RNAcentral.